GGAAGGGGUGUAUUUAUUAGAUUAAAAACCAAUGCCCUUCGGGGCUCUCUGGUGAUUCAUAAUAACUUCUCGAAUCGCACGGCCUUGCGCCGGCGAUGGUUCAUUCAAAUUUCUGCCCUAUCGACUUUCGACGGCUGGGUCUUGGCCAGCCGUGGUGACAACGGGUAACGGAGGGUUAGGGCUCGACCCCGGAGAAGGAGCCUGAGAAACGGCUACUACAUCCAAGGAAGGCAGCAGGCGCGCAAAUUGCCCAAUCCCGACACGGGGAGGUAGUGACAAUAAAUACUGAUACAGGGCUCUUUCGGGUCUUGUAAUUGGAAUGAGUACAAUUUAAAUCCCUUAACGAGGAACAAUUGGAGGGCAAGUCUGGUGCCAGCAGCCGCGGUAAUUCCAGCUCCAAUAGCGUAUAUUAAAGUUGUUGAGGUUAAAAAGCUCGUAGUUGAACCUUGGGCCUAGCCGGCCGGUCCGCCUCACCGCGUGCACUGGCUCGGCUGGGUCUUUCCUUCUGGAGAACCGCAUGCCCUUCACUGGGUGUGCCGGGGAACCAGGACUUUUAC
RNAcentral lists this ribosomal RNA (557 nucleotides) under uncultured fungus. RNAcentral's name for it is "SSU rRNA". It matches the Rfam family "Eukaryotic small subunit ribosomal RNA", at positions 194 to 755 of the family's 1831-position model. The record is from RNAcentral. Lineage: Eukaryota; Fungi.